GACGUAGGGCGCGAGCGUUGUCCGGAUUUAUUGGGCGUAAAGAGCUCGUAGGCGGCUUGUCGCGUCGGCUGUGAAAACCCGCGGCUCAACUGUGGGCGGGCAGCUGAUACGGGCAGGCUGGAGUUCGGUAGGGGAGACUGGAAUUCCUGGUGUAGCGGUGAAAUGCGCAGAUAUCAGGAGGAACACCGGUGGCGAAGGCGGGUCUCUGGGCCGGUACUGACGCUGAGACGCGAAAGCGUGGGGAGCGAACAGG
This 253-nucleotide ribosomal RNA is filed under the name uncultured bacterium. RNAcentral describes it as "partial 16S ribosomal RNA". It matches the Rfam family "Bacterial small subunit ribosomal RNA", at positions 524 to 776 of the family's 1533-position model. The record is from RNAcentral.